Molecule: ribosomal RNA, 406 nt
Filed under: uncultured bacterium
Lineage: Bacteria
Description: bacterial SSU rRNA
Rfam family: Bacterial small subunit ribosomal RNA
Source: RNAcentral
AUUGAACGCUGGCGGCGUGCCUAACACAUGCAAGUCGAGCGGUAACAGGUGUAGCAAUACAUGCUGACGAGCGGCGAACGGGUGAGUAGUGCUUCGGAAUCUACCCAAUGGUGGGGAAUAACCAGCCGAAAGGUUGGCUAAUACCGCAUACGUCCCACGGGAGAAAGCAGGGGAUCGCAAGACCUUGCGCCAAUGGAUGAGCCGAAGUCGGAUUAGCUAGUUGGAGGGUAACGGCCUACCAAGGCGACGAUCCGUAGCUGGUCUGAGAGGACGACCAGCCACACUGGGACUGAGACACGGCCCAGACUCCUACGGGAGGCAGCAGUGGGGAAUAUUGGACAAUGGGGGAAACCCGUGAUCCAGCGACGCCGCGUGUGUGAAGAAGGCCUGCGGGGUUGUAAAGCAC